GUCAUCCUGAAGUGUUUGUCGGAUAAUGUAAUUCAACCUACGCAUGUUCACAGGGAAUUCGUGUUUUUUGCAUUAUGGCAAGCCCGUCCUACGGGAAGUCAAACCGCAAAAGUAGAUAUCCCACCUAUUUAAAGAUAGGGCGUGAAUUAUAUUCCGACGGCAGUUUCGGGAUUUUU
This 176-nucleotide non-coding RNA is filed under the name Eubacterium saphenum ATCC 49989. RNAcentral's name for it is "6S / SsrS RNA". It matches the Rfam family "6S / SsrS RNA". Rfam says of the family: E. coli 6S RNA was the first non coding RNA to be sequenced, but its function was unknown until recently. The record is from Rfam by way of RNAcentral. Lineage: Bacteria; Bacillati; Bacillota; Clostridia; Peptostreptococcales; Anaerovoracaceae.